This 201-nucleotide small nuclear RNA is filed under the name Suricata suricatta (meerkat). Its description in RNAcentral is "U2 spliceosomal RNA (ENSSSUG00005013034.1)". The stretch from base 1 to 167 matches the Rfam family "U2 spliceosomal RNA". From Rfam's summary of the family: U2 is a small nuclear RNA (snRNA) component of the spliceosome (involved in pre-mRNA splicing). The record is from RNAcentral. Lineage: Eukaryota; Metazoa; Chordata; Mammalia; Carnivora; Herpestidae.
AUCGCUUCUCUGCCUUUUGGCUAAGAUCAAGUGUAGUAUCUGUUCACGUCAGCUUAAUAAAAAGCUAACCUGCAAUAUACACAACUAUUAAAAGAUUACAGCACUGUUUUUACAGUUUUCUAAUUGUGGCCUAACCUUCCUAUCACCUUUGGGUUAAUUUAAGAUUUUCCAUAUAAUUCAGAAAACCCAAAUUGAGCAUUA